GCUACGGGAGGCAGCAGUGGGGAAUAUUGGGCAAUGGAGGCAACUCUGACCCAGCAACGCCGCGUGCAUGAUGAAGGUCUUCGGAUUGUAAAGUUCUUUUCUAAGGGAAGAAGAAAGUGACGAUACCUUAGGAAUAUGCCUCGGCUAACUACGUGCCAGCAGCCGCGGUAAUCCGUAGGAGGCAAGAGUUAUCCGGAAUGACUGGGCUUAAAGGGUGCGUAGGUGGUAUGAAACGUUAGUAGCACAACUCCGGGGCUCAACUUCGGAACUACUACUAACACUGUUGUACUUGAGUGCAGGAGAGGCAAUCGGAAUUCCUAGUGUAGCGGUGGAAUGCGUAGAUAUUAGGAGGAACACCAGUGGCGAAGGCGGAUUACUAGACUGUAACUGACACUGAGGCACGAAAGCGUGGGGAGCAAACAGGAUUAGAUACCCUGGUAGUC
RNAcentral lists this ribosomal RNA (443 nucleotides) under uncultured bacterium. RNAcentral's name for it is "partial 16S ribosomal RNA". It matches the Rfam family "Bacterial small subunit ribosomal RNA", at positions 338 to 795 of the family's 1533-position model. The record is from RNAcentral.